AGCGGUGUGGCGCAGUUAGGCAGCGCGGCGGGCUCAUAAUCCGCAGGCCGUGGGUUCGAAUCCCACCACCGCAA
RNAcentral lists this transfer RNA (74 nucleotides) under Nocardia flavorosea. RNAcentral's name for it is "tRNA-Met". It matches the Rfam family "tRNA". Rfam says of the family: Transfer RNA (tRNA) molecules are approximately 80 nucleotides in length. The record is from RNAcentral. Lineage: Bacteria; Bacillati; Actinomycetota; Actinomycetes; Mycobacteriales; Nocardiaceae.